Pan troglodytes (chimpanzee) is the source of this 235-nucleotide long non-coding RNA. RefSeq lists it as uncharacterized. The record is from RefSeq and is a predicted model, not a curated record. Lineage: Eukaryota; Metazoa; Chordata; Mammalia; Primates; Hominidae. The transcript has 2 exons.
GUCUAACUGGGCAAAGAACAAGGACUCUGGCUUCAGAAAAGCUGAGGAUUUAGGACUCCGUGCCAGGAGUUUGCACCCUCGGGACCUUGGCUGAGUAGAGAAACAGGUGAAGAGGAAGGCUGCCAAACGGAAGAGAUGGGAAAACACAUCGGGACAGCAGUGGGUGUGGCCAGAGAAGCCAGUGGCUACUUUCAAUUGCCUGUGUCUAAUCACAGAGGAAGAAACAUGUCCCUCA